UACGUAGGGACCAAGCGUUGUUCGGAUUUACUGGGCGUAAAGGGCGCGUAGGCGGCUUGACAAGUCACUUGUGAAAUCUCCGGGCUUAACUCGGAACGGCCAAGUGAAACUGUCAUGCUAGAGUGCAGAAGGGGCAAUCGGAAUUCUUGGUGUAGCGGUGAAAUGCGUAGAUAUCAGGAGGAACACCAAUGGCGAAGGCAGCUCGCUGGGACGUGACUGACGCUGAGACGCGAAAGCGUGGGGAGCAAACAGG
RNAcentral lists this ribosomal RNA (253 nucleotides) under uncultured bacterium. RNAcentral describes it as "partial 16S ribosomal RNA". It matches the Rfam family "Bacterial small subunit ribosomal RNA", at positions 524 to 776 of the family's 1533-position model. The record is from RNAcentral.